RNAcentral lists this ribosomal RNA (497 nucleotides) under uncultured bacterium. RNAcentral's name for it is "partial 16S ribosomal RNA". It matches the Rfam family "Bacterial small subunit ribosomal RNA", at positions 28 to 507 of the family's 1533-position model. The record is from RNAcentral.
GAUGAACGCUGGCGGCGUGCCUAAUACAUGCAAGUCGAGCGAACAGACGAGGAGCUUGCUCCUCUGACGUUAGCGGCGGACGGGUGAGUAACACGUGGAUAACCUACCUAUAAGACUGGGAUAACUUCGGGAAACCGGAGCUAAUACCGGAUAAUAUAUUGAACCGCAUGGUUCAAUAGUGAAAGACGGUUUUGCUGUCACUUAUAGAUGGAUCCGCGCCGCAUUAGCUAGUUGGUAAGGUAACGGCUUACCAAGGCAACGAUGCGUAGCCGACCUGAGAGGGUGGUCGGCCACCCUGGAACUGAGACCCGGUCCAGACUUCUACGGGAGGCCGCAGUAGGGAAUCUUCCGCCAUGGGCGAAAGCUUGACGGAGCAACGCCGCGUGAGUGAUGAAGGUCUUCGGAUCGUAAAACUCUGUUAUUAGGGAAGAACAAAUGUGUAAGUAACUAUGCACGUCUUGACGGUACCUAAUCAGAAAGCCACGGCUAACUACGUG